This 164-nucleotide small nuclear RNA is filed under the name Dasypus novemcinctus (nine-banded armadillo). RNAcentral describes it as "U1 spliceosomal RNA (ENSDNOG00000038766.1)". It matches the Rfam family "U1 spliceosomal RNA". Rfam says of the family: U1 is a small nuclear RNA (snRNA) component of the spliceosome (involved in pre-mRNA splicing). The record is from RNAcentral. Lineage: Eukaryota; Metazoa; Chordata; Mammalia; Cingulata; Dasypodidae.
UUACUUAUUUGGCAGGGGAGAUACCAUGCUCAGGAGUGUGGAUUUCCCAGCAUGAGGUUUAUCCAUUGCACUCCAGAUGUGCUGACCCCUGCGAUUUCCACAAAUGUGGGAAACUCAACUGCAUAAUUUGAGGUAGUGGAGGACUGUCUUCAUGCUCUCCCCUG